RNAcentral lists this ribosomal RNA (500 nucleotides) under uncultured bacterium. RNAcentral's name for it is "partial 16S ribosomal RNA". It matches the Rfam family "Bacterial small subunit ribosomal RNA", at positions 28 to 507 of the family's 1533-position model. The record is from RNAcentral.
GACGAACGCUGGCGGCGUGCCUAAUACAUGCAAGUCGAGCGGACUGAUUAAGAGCUUGCUCUUAUGACGUUAGCGGCGGACGGGUGAGUAACACGUGGGCAACCUGCCCUGUAGAUCGGGAUAACACCGAGAAAUCGGUGCUAAUACCGGGUAAUAUCUGAGAUCACAUGAUCUUAGGUUAAAAGAUGGCUCCGGCUAUCACUACAGGCUGGGCCCGCGGCGCAUUAGCUAGUUGGUAAGGUAAUGGCUUACCAAGGCGACGAUGCGUAGCCGACCUGAGAGGGUGAUCGGCCACACUGGGACUGAGACACGGCCCAGACUCCUACGGGAGGCAGCAGUAGGGAAUCUUCCGCAAUGGACGGAAGUCUGACGGAGCAACGCCGCGUGAGUGAUGAAGGGUUUCGGCUCGUAGAGCUCUGUUGUUAGGGAAGAAACAGUACCGAACGAACUAGGUCGGUACCUUGACGGUACCUAAACAGAAAGCCACGGCUAACUACGUG